This 1175-nucleotide unclassified non-coding RNA is filed under the name Acromyrmex echinatior (Panamanian leafcutter ant). RNAcentral's name for it is "protein YIPF6, transcript variant X1". The record is from RNAcentral. Lineage: Eukaryota; Metazoa; Arthropoda; Insecta; Hymenoptera; Formicidae.
UCCUUCAAAUCAUUGAGGAUCAACGUUGACGGUCUCGAUACUCUCGAUUCGUUGAAUUCGCAGUCGGAAGAACGCUUGUACGCGACAUCGGCUGAAUGCAGCGUCUUCAUGGCUUCAACGGUAACGACUUUGUCGCCGAUAACGAAUCGUAGUAAGCGCGAAUCAUCGAGCUGAGGGGACACGUGUACGUUCUACUGCGAGUUUAUCGCGCGUGGACAACGACGUCAACGACGUCUCUUCCUUGAUAUGCCUGGAGUGCAUCGCUCGCGAGAUCAUCGACGUUACACUUUAUCCUAGCUUCGAUUAACGAUUCUACUCUACGCUAGUCAACGGCGAAUAUGGCGGCGAUGGAUGGCGAAGCAAAGCUUGACAUGUAUGAUGAUGUCACGUAUGUUGUUGAUCCUCAACAUGUUGAGGGUGAGAUGACAGUUGGUACAAAGCAGAGGUCGACUUUAGGAGAACCAGAAUUUAAUACAUUAGACGAGCCUAUUAAAGAUACAAUUUUGAGAGACGUUCGAGCGGUGGGCAAGAAGUUUUUCCAUGUUUUAUAUCCUAAAGAGAAGAAAAGUUUACUAAAAGAAUGGGAUUUAUGGGGACCAUUAAUAUUGUGUACUUUUAUGGCAAUGAUAUUGCAAGGUUCAACUGACAUAGCAGAUAGUUCAAACGAUGGAGGACCCGAAUUUGCAGAAGUGUUUGUUAUUGUAUGGAUUGGAUCUAUGGUUGUUACAUUGAAUUCGAAAUUGUUGGGUGGAAAUAUAUCUUUCUUCCAAAGCGUUUGUGUCCUAGGGUAUUGCUUAUUACCGACUGCCAUCGCUCUAAUUUUAUGCAGAAUCAUACUAAUAGUGCAGCAAAGCAGUCUUCUAUUUACUCUUAGGUUGGUGAUCAGCAUGAUUGGAUUUUUGUGGGCAACGUAUGCAUCGAUGGCAUUCCUUGGCGACAGUCAGCCCACAGGCAGGAAGGCAUUAGCAGUAUAUCCAAUUUUCCUGUUUUAUUUUGUUAUAUCAUGGCUAGUUAUAUCCCACACUACAUAAAACGCAACAUAACAAUUAAUCUGUUACAAGACUGCGCAUUGCUCCAACCUUCCGCGUAAAUAGGGGACGUAAUCAGGAGACGACGAAAAAAUAAUCAGAAGGCCGUACUCCUUGACCAGUGUAACUAGUGCCAGGAUUUCUCAA